Molecule: ribosomal RNA, 443 nt
Filed under: uncultured bacterium
Lineage: Bacteria
Description: partial 16S ribosomal RNA
Rfam family: Bacterial small subunit ribosomal RNA
Source: RNAcentral
CCUACGGGUGACAGCAGUGGGGAAUAUUGCACAAUGGGGGGAACCCUGAUGCAGCAACGCCGCGUGAAGGAAGACGGUUUUCGGAUUGUAAACUUCUAUCAAUAGGGAAGAAAGAAAUGACGAUACCUAAAUAAGAAGCCCCGGCUAACUACGUGCCAGCAGCCGCGGUAAUACGUAGGGGGCAAGCGUUAUCCGGAUUUACUGGGUGUAAAGGGAGCGUAGACGGCAGAGCAAGUCUGAAGUGAAAGCCCGCGGCCCAACUGCGGGACUGCUUUGGAAACUGCCCGGCUAGAGUGCUGGAGAGGUAAGCGGAAUUCCUAGUGUAGCGGUGAAAUGCGUAGAUAUUAGGAGGAACACCAGUGGCGAAGGCGGCUUACUGGACAGUAACUGACGUUGAGGCUCGAAAGCGUGGGGAGCAAACAGGAUUAGAUACCCCUGUAGUC